CACAGGCACCAUUCAGAUGGAGAAGGGAAAGGUUCUAGCCUGCAGAGAAGUUCUAGAAUGGGGAAGGGGGAGCAAAGAAUGUGAGAAGGGAGACUAGAAAAGGGAAGAGGCAGGAGGAAGUAAGUACCAGGCAGGAGGAAGGGUCAAUACGCCAAGCCCUUAGUACAAAGAAACUGAGUCGUCCAUAACCGGCUCACACGGGACAAUGUACUAACACACACCCAUCCAACUCACAGUCAGACAAACAGUUCAAUUGUUGGAGCAAGUAGUCCAACACAGCUGAACACACACUCAGUCCAACCAACACAGCCAGAUUGGGCCAAACCAGCUCACAGACGAUCCCGCCCCCACCCACUCUCUGUUUGGUGACCAGCCUGGGAGGCUGAAGGAGGAGCCUGCUGAUAAUCCACAAGGCCACCCCACCCAACUGCCAAGCCACCCAGGAAACAUCUCAAAACUAUCCUUUCUCUUUCUCAACUCCUCCCAUCACAGGACGCGAGGAGGCAUUGACAACAGUGUUAUAUGAAAUCUCAGAGAAGUCAAGUGAUUUUG
This 552-nucleotide long non-coding RNA is filed under the name Phascolarctos cinereus (koala). RNAcentral's name for it is "lncRNA (ENSPCIG00000007824.2)". Lineage: Eukaryota; Metazoa; Chordata; Mammalia; Diprotodontia; Phascolarctidae. The record is from RNAcentral.